CGGCGGACGGGUGAGUAACGCGUGGGUAACCUGCCUCAUACAGGGGGAUAACAGUUGGAAACGGCUGCUAAUACCGCAUAAGCGCACAGUACCGCAUGGUACCGUGUGAAAAACUCCGGUGGUAUGAGAUGGACCCGCGUCUGAUUAGCUAGUUGGUGGGGUAACGGCCUACCAAGGCGACGAUCAGUAGCCGACCUGAGAGGUUGAACGGCCACAUUGGGACUGAGACACGGCCCAG
This 238-nucleotide ribosomal RNA is filed under the name uncultured bacterium. Its description in RNAcentral is "partial 16S ribosomal RNA". It matches the Rfam family "Bacterial small subunit ribosomal RNA", at positions 96 to 334 of the family's 1533-position model. The record is from RNAcentral.